This 404-nucleotide ribosomal RNA is filed under the name uncultured bacterium. RNAcentral describes it as "bacterial SSU rRNA". It matches the Rfam family "Bacterial small subunit ribosomal RNA", at positions 355 to 776 of the family's 1533-position model. The record is from RNAcentral.
UGAGGAAUAUUGGACAAUGGGCGCAAGCCUGAUCCAGCCAUGCCGCGUGAGUGAUGAAGGCCCUAGGGUUGUAAAGCUCUUUCACCGGUGAAGAUAAUGACGGUAACCGGAGAAGAAGCCCCGGCUAACUUCGUGCCAGCAGCCGCGGUAAUACGAAGGGGGCUAGCGUUGUUCGGAAUUACUGGGCGUAAAGCGCACGUAGGCGGAUACUUAAGUCAGGGGUGAAAUCCCGGGGCUCAACCCCGGAACUGCCUUUGAUACUGGGUAUCUUGAGUCCAGAAGAGGUGAGUGGAAUUCCGAGUGUAGAGGUGAAAUUCGUAGAUAUUCGGAGGAACACCAGUGGCGAAGGCGGCUCACUGGUCUGGUACUGACGCUGAGGUGCGAAAGCGUGGGGAGCAAACAGG